Molecule: ribosomal RNA, 305 nt
Filed under: uncultured bacterium
Lineage: Bacteria
Description: bacterial SSU rRNA
Rfam family: Bacterial small subunit ribosomal RNA
Source: RNAcentral
CGAGCCUACGGGGGGCAGCAGUGGGGGAUAUUGCACAAUGGGGGAAACCCUGAUGCAGCGACACCGCGUGGGUGAGGAAGCGCUUCGGCGUGUAAAGCCCUAUCAGUGGGGAAGAAAAAGGACGGUACCCAAAGAAGAAGCACCGGCUAAAUACGUGCCAGCAGCCGCGGUAAUACGUAUGGUGCAAGCGUUAUCCGGAAUGACUGGGUGUAAAGGGAGCGUAGACGGUUGUACAAGUCUGAUGUGAAAUCCAGGGGCUCAACCCCUGAACUGCAUUUGAAACUGUCGUUCUUGAGUACUGGAGA